RNAcentral lists this long non-coding RNA (578 nucleotides) under Citrus sinensis (sweet orange). RNAcentral's name for it is "long non-coding RNA (CSIN_LNC003416)". Lineage: Eukaryota; Viridiplantae; Streptophyta; Magnoliopsida; Sapindales; Rutaceae. The record is from RNAcentral.
CCACCACCGAUUCCCAUCUACAAACCAAAACCCCCAAUCCCGAAGGUGCUUCCACCAAUUCCCAUCUACAAACCCAAACCCCCAAUCCCAAAGGUGCUUCCACCACCAGUUCCCAUCUACAAACCAAAACCCCCAAUCCCAAAAUUGCUUCCACCAAUUCCCAUCUACAAACCAAAACCCCCAAUCCCGAAAUUGCUUCCACCAAUUCCCAUCUACAAACCAAAACCACCAAUCCCGAAGGUGCUUCCACCACCGAUUCCCAUCUACAAACCAAAACCCCCAAUCCCAAAAGUGCUUCCACCACCAAUUCCCAUCUACAAACCAAAACCCCCAAUCUCGAAAGUUCUUCCCCCACCAAUUCCCAUCUUUAAACCAAAACCUCCAAUCCCAAAAGUACUUCCACCACUAGUUCCGACUUACAAACCAAAACCUCCAAUCCCAAAAGUGCUUCCACCAUUAAUACCUAUCUACAAACCAAAGCCACCAAUCUUUAAGCUACUGCCGCCACUUCCAAAGAUCCCACCAUUCCCCAAGAAGCCAUGCCCACCUUUACCAAAGCUUCCUCCGCUCCCCAAGAU